AGCCUGAUCAGCCUGCCGCGUGUGUGAAGAAGGCCUUAUGGUUGUAAAGCACUUUAAGCGAGGAGGAGGCUACUUUAGAUAAUACCUAGAGAUAGUGGACGUUACUCGCAGAAUAAGCACCGGCUAACUCUGUGCCAGCAGCCGCGGUAAUACAGAGGGUGCAAGCGUUAAUCGGAUUUACUGGGCGUAAAGCGCGCGUAGGCGGCUAAUUAAGUCAAAUGUGAAAUCCCCGAGCUUAACUUGGGAAUUGCAUUCGAUACUGGUUAGCUAGAGUGUGGGAGAGGAUGGUAGAAUUCCAGGUGUAGCGGUGAAAUGCGUAGAGAUCUGGAGGAAUACCGAUGGCGAAGGCAGCCAUCUGGCCUAACACUGACGCUGAGGUGCGAAAGCAUGGGGAGCAAACAGGAUUAGAUACCCUGGUAGUCCAUGCCGUAAACGAUGUCUACUAGCCGUUGGGGCCUUUGAGGCUUUAGUGGCGCAGCUAACGCGAUAAGUAGACCGCCUGGGGAGUACGGUCGCAAGACUAAAACUCAAAUGAAUUGACGGGGGCCCGCACAAGCGGUGGAGCAUGUGGUUUAAUUCGAUGCAACGCGAAGAACCUUACCUGGCCUUGACAUAGUAAGAACUUUCCAGAGAUGGAUUGGUGCCUUCGGGAACUUACAUACAGGUGCUGCAUGGCUGUCGUCAGCUCGUGUCGUGAGAUGUUGGGUUAAGUCCCGCAACGAGCGCAACCCUUUUCCUUAUUUGCCAGCGAGUAAUGUCGGGAACUUUAAGGAUACUGCCAGUGACAAACUGGAGGAAGGCGGGGACGACGUCAAGUCAUCAUGGCCCUUACGGCCAGGGCUACACACGUGCUACAAUGGUCGGUACAAAGGGUUGCUACACAGCGAUGUGAUGCUAAUCUCAAAAAGCCGAUCGUAGUCCGGAUUGGAGUCUGCAACUCGACUCCAUGAAGUCGGAAUCGCUAGUAAUCGCGGAUCAGAAUGCCGCGGUGAAUACGUUCCCGGGCCUUGUACACACCGCCCGUCACACCAUGGGGAGUUUGUUGCACCAGAAGUAGCUAGCCUAACUGCAAAGAGGGCGGUUACCACGGUGUGGCCGAUGACUGGGGUGAAGUCGUAACAAGGUAGCCGUAGGGGAACCUGCGGC
RNAcentral lists this ribosomal RNA (1146 nucleotides) under Acinetobacter sp. 19B. Its description in RNAcentral is "bacterial SSU rRNA". It matches the Rfam family "Bacterial small subunit ribosomal RNA", at positions 380 to 1518 of the family's 1533-position model. Lineage: Bacteria; Pseudomonadati; Pseudomonadota; Gammaproteobacteria; Moraxellales; Moraxellaceae. The record is from RNAcentral.